CUUUUUAGGGUGGAUGCUUCUUACUUUGUUUAGGGCUGUUGUCUAGGUCUUCAGCCGUUGGUAUUUGAACUUUAUCUCAUCAGGACAGGCUGGGGCUGGAGGUUGAUUCCGUCAUUCAUACAUGCCUCAUUCACACAUCUAAACUAAACUAAUAAGAUUACAGCAGGGUUUGCAAAAAUGAAGGUUGGAGGAAGCUUUUACAAAAUGGAGUAGCUACCAUCUUUUAUGGCUUGUGACUUCUGAACCUAAUUCAAAAUCUCCAAAGAGUAAGGGGGCACCUGAAUUCUGUUGUCUUCCAGGAAAUGCAAGGGCAUGCAGGUUGUUUAUUGUUACUGUAGGACUUAAAUAGGCUUCUGGCAUUCGGGUGAAGAUCACACUGAACUUCAAACAAGAAAUAAAAUUGUGAUUAUUAAUAGGACUUCUGCACUUCUCUCCCAUAGAAUUCUUUUGUGUUUUCACAGCGGUUCCCUUUGAAACAGCAAUCUGUCAAAAUAAGCACUAUGGUCUGAAAGAUCUUUGGGAAUAUAACUUUAAUGCUAAAAAGUCAAAAGCAAUUGAUAAAAUAAGGACUGACAUUGAGGAAGUCAGUUUUGAGUGCAUAAAGUGAACAUAUCUGACACCCUGAGAUUCACCCAGGUUCUGAAUUCUUCAACAGCAUCUCUGGUAGUGCUGUAGUAUAAUAGGCUGAGAGCUAAACUGUACUGAAACCCUUUCAAGGUUUGCCCUCUUUUUAAAAGAUACUGUCAAGUGUCUAGCUCCAAUGAAUUGUCCUUGUAGCAGGAUUCUGAGCCAUGUCUUCAGCAGGAAAUACCAUAGGAAGACUAAGGCUAUGUCAACACUACAGCUUAUGUGAAUAAAUCACUCCCCUGAGCGGCAUAAGUUAUAUCAACAUAAAUGCGGUGCUCACAGGGGCUGGAGUAGUUAAGCCGAUGGGAGAGCUCUCUUCCGCUGGCUUGGAGCAGCUGCAUUAGAGAGCUUACAGCGGCUGCUGUAAACUCUGUAGUGUAGCUGUGCUCUAAAUCUCAUUCAGAUACGGGAAAGAGACUCCUCCCUUUGGAAAGAACUCAGGCCUUAUCCACAUAGGAAGGUUUUUCAGUAUAGAUUUUUCUACUAUAACUAUGCUGACGGGCAUGCACAGGAAUUUAAAUACCACUCUUUUUGCAGGGACAUGUCCUGUGUCCCCACCGUGGCCCCAGGGCUGGAGGAGCUGUCAACUCCUGCCGUGGCCCAGGGGCUGGAGGUGCUCUCUCUCCUUGCAAGGGACCUAGGGCCACAUGAGCUCACUUUCACUGUCCUGAGGAUGGAGAUGCUCUCUUCCAUGCCAUAGCACUGGGGCCAGAAGAGUUCUCUGCCCCUGCCAAUUAUUGGGGGGGCCCAGGCCCCAGCUUGCCUCCCAUUGUGCACACCCCUGUAAAUUGGUAUAAUGAAAGAAUGUGUCCAACAAUUCUUUGUUUAUGCCGGCUUAAGCUACUUCCCUUGGGAAUCAAAGUGUUUGUAGAAAGGGAAACUUUAUUAAAACGGUCUCAUUUGUAAGGAAUCCAGAAUGUAAUGUAAAAUAUGUUAAUUUUUGAAUUUAGCCACAAAAUUACCAGAGGAUGUUAAAAGGAUGGUCCCAAGUUGCAAAACUUGGAUCUUGACUAAAUCUUAUAUAUAUAUUUUAUCUGGGGUUUUGUUUUGGAUCCAUUGGGAAAAGUAAAGACAGAAGACUAUUUAGAGUAAAAAAAAAA
Gopherus flavomarginatus (Mexican gopher tortoise) is the source of this 1727-nucleotide long non-coding RNA. RefSeq lists it as uncharacterized. The transcript is spliced from 2 exons. Lineage: Eukaryota; Metazoa; Chordata; Testudines; Testudinidae. The record is from RefSeq and is a predicted model, not a curated record.